AGUUUGAUCCUGGCUCAGAAGGAACGCUGGCAGCGUGCAUAACACAUGCAAGUCGAACGAUGAAACAUUCUUCGGAAUGUGGAAGAGUGGCGAACGGGUGAGGAACACGUAAGAAUCUGCCCCUCGGUCGGGGACAACUCUUGGAAACGAGAGCUAAUACCCGAUACGCUGUGGAGUGAAAGAAUUUCGCCGAGGGAUGAUCUUGCGUCUGAUUAGCUAGUUGGUGUGGUAAUGGCAUACCAAGGCGACGAUCAGUAGCUGGUCUGAGAGGAUGAACAGCCACAUUGGAACUGAGACACGGUCCAAACUCCUACGGGAGGCAGCAGUGGGGAAUUUUCCGCAAUGGACGAAAGUCUGACGGAGCGACGCUGCGUGAAGGAUGACGGCCUGCGGGUUGUAAACUUCUUUUCUCGAAGAAGAAGCUCUGACGGUAUUCGAGGAAUAAGCAUCGGCUAACUCCGUGCCAGCAGCCGCGGUAAUACGGAGGGGGCGAGCGUUGUCCGGAUUUAUUGGGCGUAAAGAGCUCGUAGGCGGUUCAACAAGUCGGUAGUAAAAGCUCAGGGCUCAACCCUGAAAUGUCUAUCGAUACUGUUGUGACUAGGAUACGGCAGAGGUGAGUGGAAUUCCGAGUGUAGCGGUGAAAUGCGUAGAUAUUCGGAGGAACACCAAUUGCGAAGGCAGCUCACUGGGCCGCUAUCGACGCUGAGGAGCGAAAGCUAGGGGAGCAAACAGGGAUUAGAUACCCUGGUAGUCCCUAGCUGUAAACGAUGGAUACUAGACGUAGGAACUGGAUUGACGGUUUCUGUGUCGUAGCUAACGCGUUAAGUAUCCCGCCUGGGGAGUACGGUCGCAAGACUAAAACUCAAAGGAAUUGACGGGACCCCGCACAAGCGGCGGAGCAUGCGGCUUAAUUCGAUGAUACCCGUAGAACCUUACCUGGACUUGACAUAUAGGGUCAAGCUAUAGAGAUAUAGUGUGCAUUAGCGCCCUAUACAGGUGGUGCAUGGCUGUCGUCAGCUCGUGCCGUGAGAUGUUGGGUUAAGUCCCGCAACGAGCGCAACCCCUGUCCUAUGUUGCCAGCAUUUAGUUGGGGACUCAUAGGAGACUGCCGGUGAUAAACCGGAGGAAGGUGGGGAUGACGUCAAGUCAUCAUGCCCCUUAUGUCCAGGGCUGCACGCAUGCUACAAUGGCAAGUACAACGAGUCGCAAUACCGCGAGGUGGAGCAAAUCUCUUAAAGCUCGUCCCAGUUCGGAUAGGGGUCUGCAACUCGACUCCUUGAAGUUGGAGUCGCUAGUAAUCGCAAAUCAGCAAAGUUGCGGUGAAUACGUUCUCGGGGUUUGUACACACCGCCCGUCAAGUCACGGAAGUCGGCAAUACCCGAAGCCAGUGGUCCAACCCUUUUAGGGAGGAAGCUGUCGAAGGUAGGGUCGGUAACUGGGACUAAGUCGUAACAAGGUAACC
This 1462-nucleotide ribosomal RNA is filed under the name uncultured bacterium. RNAcentral describes it as "partial 16S ribosomal RNA". It matches the Rfam family "Bacterial small subunit ribosomal RNA". The record is from RNAcentral.